This 290-nucleotide ribosomal RNA is filed under the name uncultured bacterium. Its description in RNAcentral is "partial 16S ribosomal RNA". It matches the Rfam family "Bacterial small subunit ribosomal RNA", at positions 773 to 1060 of the family's 1533-position model. The record is from RNAcentral.
GUGGAUUAGAUACCCUGGUAGUCCACGCCGUAAACGAUGGGCACUAGGCGUCGGGGGGAGCGACCCUCCCGGUGCCGUCGCUAACGCAGUAAGUGCCCCGCCUGGGGAGUACGGCCGCAAGGCUGAAACUCAAAGGAAUUGACGGGGGCCCGCACAAGCGGUGGAGCAUGUGGUUUAAUUCGAAGCAACGCGAAGAACCUUACCUGGGCUUGACAUGCACGGGAAAGCCGGUGGAAACAUCGGCCCCUCUUCGGAGUCCGUGCACAGGUGCUGCAUGGCCGUCGUCAGCU